AUCUCUGUAGCUUAAUCAAGAGCGCAACACUGAAGAUGUUGAGGCGGGCGAGCCCCGGAGAUA
RNAcentral lists this transfer RNA (63 nucleotides) under Artemia franciscana. Its description in RNAcentral is "tRNA-Phe". It matches the Rfam family "tRNA". From Rfam's summary of the family: Transfer RNA (tRNA) molecules are approximately 80 nucleotides in length. Their secondary structure includes four short double-helical elements and three loops (D, anti-codon, and T loops). RNAcentral also lists the same sequence under 1 other name. The record is from RNAcentral. Lineage: Eukaryota; Metazoa; Arthropoda; Branchiopoda; Anostraca; Artemiidae.